GUGGGUAGUUUGACUGGGGCGGUCUCCUCCUAAAGAGUAACGGAGGAGCACGAAGGUUGGCUAAUCCUGGUCGGACAUCAGGAGGUUAGUGCAAUGGCAUAAGCCAGCUUGACUGCGAGCGUGACGGCGCGAGCAGGUGCGAAAGCAGGUCAUAGUGAUCCGGUGGUUCUGAAUGGAAGGGCCAUCGCUCAACGGAUAAAAGGUACUCCGGGGAUAACAGGCUGAUACCGCCCAAGAGUUCAUAUCGACGGCGGUGUUUGGCACCUCGAUGUCGGCUCAUCACAUCCUGGGGCUGAAGUAGGUCCCAAGGGUAUGGCUGUUCGCCAUUUAAAGUGGUACGCGAGCUGGGUUUAGAACGUCGUGAGACAGUUCGGUCCCUAUCUGCCGUGGGCGCUGGAGAACUGAGGGGGGCUGCUCCUAGUACGAGAGGACCGGAGUGGACGCAUCACUGGUGUUCGGGUUGUCAUGCCAAUGGCACUGCCCGGUAGCUAAAUGCGGAAGAGAUAAGUGCUGAAAGCAUCUAAGCACGAAACUUGCCCCGAGAUGAGUUCUCCCUGAGACUUAAAGUCUCCUGAAGGAACGUUGAAGACGACGACGUUGAUAGGCCGGGUGUGUAAGCGCAGCGAUGCGUUGAGCUAACCGGUACUAAUGAACCGUGAGGCUUAA
Molecule: ribosomal RNA, 666 nt
Filed under: Salmonella enterica
Lineage: Bacteria; Pseudomonadati; Pseudomonadota; Gammaproteobacteria; Enterobacterales; Enterobacteriaceae
Description: partial 23S ribosomal RNA
Rfam family: Bacterial large subunit ribosomal RNA
Source: RNAcentral